UAGGGAAUCUUCGGCAAUGGGGGGAACCCUGACCGAGCAACGCCGCGUGAGUGAAGAAGGUUUUCGGAUCGUAAGGCUCUGUUGUUAAGGAAGAACGAGUGUGAGAAUGGAAAGUUCAUACUGUGACGGUACUUAACCAGAAAGGGACGGCUAACUACGUGCCAGCAGCCGCGGUAAUACGUAGGUCCCGAGCGUUGUCCGGAUUUAUUGGGCGUAAAGCGAGCGCAGGCGGUUAGAUAAGUCUGAAGUUAAAGGCAGUGGCUCAACCAUUGUAGGCUUUGGAAACUGUUUAACUUGAGUGCAGAAGGGGGGAGUGGAAUUCCAUGUGUAGCGGUGAAAUGCGUAGAUAUAUGGAGGAACACCGGUGGCGAAAGCGGCUCUCUGGUCUGUAACUGACGCUGAGGCUCGAAAGCGUGGGGAGCGAACAGG
Molecule: ribosomal RNA, 429 nt
Filed under: Bacteroidota bacterium
Lineage: Bacteria; Pseudomonadati; Bacteroidota
Description: Bacteroidetes bacterium partial 16S ribosomal RNA
Rfam family: Bacterial small subunit ribosomal RNA
Source: RNAcentral